Molecule: ribosomal RNA, 253 nt
Filed under: uncultured bacterium
Lineage: Bacteria
Description: partial 16S ribosomal RNA
Rfam family: Bacterial small subunit ribosomal RNA
Source: RNAcentral
UACGGGGGGGGCAAGCGUUGUUCGGAAUUACUGGGCGUAAAGGGUUCGUAGGUGGCCUGCUAAGUCAGACGUGAAAUCCCUCAGCUUAACUGGGGAACUGCGUCUGAGACUGGUGGGCUUGAGUGCAGGAGAGGAACGCGGAAUUCCAGGUGUAGCGGUGAAAUGCGUAGAUAUCUGGAGGAAUACCGGUGGCGAAGGCGGCAUCCUGGACCGGCAUUGACGCUGAUGAGCGAAAGCUAGGGGAGCAAACGGG